AGUGAAAGCUGGCGGUAGGCCUAACACAUGCAAGUCGAACGGCAGCACAGAGGAGCUUGCUCCUUGGGUGGCGAGUGGCGGACGGGUGAGGAAUACAUCGGAAUCUACUCUGUCGUGGGGGAUAACGUAGGGAAACUUACGCUAAUACCGCAUACGACCUACGGGUGAAAGCAGGGGAUCUUCGGACCUUGCGCGAUUGAAUGAGCCGAUGUCGGAUUAGCUAGUUGGCGGGGUAAAGGCCCACCAAGGCGACGUUCCGUAGCUGGUCUGAGAGGAUGAUCAGCCACACUGGAACUGAGACACGGUCCAGACUCCUACGGGAGGCAGCAGUGGGGAAUAUUGGACAAUGGGCGCAAGCCUGAUCCAGCCAUACCGCGUGGGUGAAGAAGGCCUUCGGGUUGUAAAGCCCUUUUGUUGGGAAAGAAAUCCAUCUGGUUAAUACCCGGGUGGGAUGACGGUACCCAAAGAAUAAGCACCGGCUAACUUCGUGCCAGCCGCCGCAGUAA
RNAcentral lists this ribosomal RNA (506 nucleotides) under uncultured bacterium. Its description in RNAcentral is "partial 16S ribosomal RNA". It matches the Rfam family "Bacterial small subunit ribosomal RNA", at positions 29 to 523 of the family's 1533-position model. The record is from RNAcentral.